Molecule: long non-coding RNA, 625 nt
Organism: Saccostrea echinata
Lineage: Eukaryota; Metazoa; Mollusca; Bivalvia; Ostreida; Ostreidae
Exons: 3
Source: RefSeq, a predicted model, not a curated record
UCGCAAAAUGGAAUUUUAAAAAAGCAUGUAGAGGCAUCUACAACCAAAAAUCAUAAUGACGCAGAGGGUUUUGAAGAUUGCCCUGUCCCUGAAGUGACCACAAUUUAUGACCUUGGACAAGGGGUCACGAUUAGAACUGAGGAAGAUAAUUCAGUUUUAAACUUAAAUGCCGUCCAGUUAACCCGCUUUCCUAAGUAUACCUCGUCGACAAAAAAGACUUUCGGUGGUAAGCAGUAUUUCCCAGUCAGUACUAGUGUGACAGGAAGUACAAGUUCGUUCAUGGACACACAUGUAUAGUAACUCAUUUCAUUGCUCAGCAAAACAAAUUAGGACAAAAAUACACUUAACGUGAUGAAGUGAAUCCGAGGUGAGGAGUCUUUUUUAAAUCAUUCUUUAUAAAGAAGCAAAAAUAUAAAACAAUUGUUUUGAUUUUGUUCAAAGAUUCAACUCCUGCAUAAAGAUACUCAUGGGACUGAAUAUCGAAAACACAAGUUGAUAUUAUUUAGUUAUAUUGAUAAAAAGCUUUUAUUAAAUACAGGUUUAUACAAUUUUGAUAUACUUUUGAGUUUAUUUUAUAUGCAAUCUGCUAACCUAUUGCAUUCAAAAAAAAAAAAAAAAUCUAGGU